GGCAGUGUAGCAUAGCGGUAAGGAGCAGGGCUUGUAACCCAAAGGUUGCUGGUUCGAUCCCCCCCCGGAGCACUGCUG
This is a non-coding RNA of Megalops atlanticus (tarpon), 78 nucleotides long. Lineage: Eukaryota; Metazoa; Chordata; Actinopteri; Elopiformes; Megalopidae. The record is from the annotation of a GenBank genome assembly.